UGCAUUGGGUUCCACGUUGAGCAUGGAGCCUACUUAAAAAAAAAAAUAUAAACCUACAGUUAUAAAAUUGGUAAGUACUGGAGAUGUAAUGCACAGCGUGGUGAGGUUAAAAAAAAAAAAAAAGUACAAACUCUAGAGUCAGGCCA
Mustela erminea (ermine) is the source of this 146-nucleotide long non-coding RNA. RefSeq lists it as uncharacterized. NCBI's taxonomy places the organism in Eukaryota, Metazoa, Chordata, Mammalia, Carnivora, Mustelidae. The transcript is spliced from 2 exons. The record is from RefSeq and is a predicted model, not a curated record.